GAUGAACGCUGGCGGCGUGCCUAAUACAUGCAAGUCGAGCGAACGGACGAGAAGCUUGCUUUUCUGAUGUUAGCGGCGGACGGGUGAGUAACACGUGGAUAACCUACCUAUAAGACUGGGAUAACUUCGGGAAACCGGAGCUAAUACCGGAUAAUAUUUUGAACCGCAUGGUUCAAAAGUGAAAGACGGUCUUGCUGUCACUUAUAGAUGGAUCCGCGCUGCAUUAGCUAGUUGGUAAGGUAACGGCUUACCAAGGCAACGAUGCAUAGCCGACCUGAGAGGAGGAACGGCCGCACUAUAAAUGAGGCAGGGUUCAAACGCUUACGGGACGCAGAAGUUGCGAAUCUUCCGCAAUGCUCGAGAGCCGAACAAAGCAAUGCCGCGUGAGUGAAGAAGGUCUUCGGGUCUUAAAACUCUGUUAUUAGGGAAGAACAUAUGUGUAAGAAAAUGUGCGCAUCUUGACGGUGCCUAAUCAGAAAGCCACGCCUAACUACGUG
RNAcentral lists this ribosomal RNA (497 nucleotides) under uncultured bacterium. Its description in RNAcentral is "partial 16S ribosomal RNA". It matches the Rfam family "Bacterial small subunit ribosomal RNA", at positions 28 to 507 of the family's 1533-position model. The record is from RNAcentral.